This is a non-coding RNA of Pelobates cultripes (western spadefoot toad), 366 nucleotides long. The record is from the annotation of a GenBank genome assembly. Lineage: Eukaryota; Metazoa; Chordata; Amphibia; Anura; Pelobatidae.
UGUGUGCGGGUGUUGUGUGUUUGUCAGGGUGCUGUUUGUAUGAGAGUGUGCUGUUUGUGGGUGGGUGCUGUGCGGGUGUUGUGUGUGGGUUUUGUGUGUUUGUGAGGAUGCUGUUAGUGUGCUGGGUGUGUGUGGGUGUUGUAUGUGUGUGGGUGCUGUGUGUGCGAGGGUGAUGUGUGUGUGUGUGGGUGCUGUUUGUGGGCUGUGUGUGCUGUAUGUUUGGGUGGAGGCUGGGGCAGACUAGUUAACAUCCCAGUCCUGCUGCCUUCCCUGGUGGUUCAGUGGAGAGUGAACUCUAGCCCGGGUUCUCUGCUGCCUCCCUCCAUGCUGCUGUGGACCGGUGAGGGAGAACUUUGAUCUCCCCAC